GAUGAAGAACGCAGCGAAAUGCGAUAAGUAAUGUGAAUUGCAGAAUUCAGUGAAUCAUCGAAUCUUUGAACGCACAUUGCGCCUCUUGGUAUUCCGAGGGGCAUGCCUGUUCGAGCGUCAUUAUAACCCCUCAAGCUCAGCUUGGUGUUGGGGCCUGCUGCACUGGCAGCCCUUAAAAUCAGUGGCGGCGCCAUCUGGCUCUAAGCGUAGUAGUUCUUCUCGCUAUGGAGUCCUGGUGGAUGCUUGCCAUCAACCCCCAAUUUUUCUAUGGUUGACCUCGGAUCAGGUAGGGAUACCCGCUGAACUUAAGCAUAUCAAUAAGCGGAGGA
This 329-nucleotide unclassified non-coding RNA is filed under the name soil metagenome. RNAcentral's name for it is "partial contains 5.8S ribosomal RNA, internal transcribed spacer 2, and large subunit ribosomal RNA". The stretch from base 1 to 120 matches the Rfam family "5.8S ribosomal RNA", at positions 35 to 154 of the family's 154-position model. The record is from RNAcentral.